UACGGAGGGUGCGAGCGUUAAUCGGAAUUACUGGGCGUAAAGCGCACGCAGGCGGUUUGUUAAGCUAGAUGUGAAAGCCCCGGGCUCAACCUGGGAUGGUCAUUUAGAACUGGCAGACUAGAGUCUUGGAGAGGGGAGUGGAAUUCCAGGUGUAGCGGUGAAAUGCGUAGAUAUCUGGAGGAACAUCAGUGGCGAAGGCGACUCCCUGGCCAAAGACUGACGCUCAUGAGCGAAAGUGUGGGUAGCGAACAGG
Molecule: ribosomal RNA, 253 nt
Filed under: uncultured bacterium
Lineage: Bacteria
Description: partial 16S ribosomal RNA
Rfam family: Bacterial small subunit ribosomal RNA
Source: RNAcentral